Non-coding RNA from Caerostris darwini, 114 nucleotides. Lineage: Eukaryota; Metazoa; Arthropoda; Arachnida; Araneae; Araneidae. The record is from the annotation of a GenBank genome assembly.
AACGGCCGUACCAUGCUGAAUAUACCGGUUCUCGUUAGAUCACCGAAGUUAAGCAUCAUUGGGCGCGGUCAGUGAUUUUCAGUGGGUGACCACCUGGGAACACUGGGUGCCGUU